CAUCCCAAUAGCAAUCACUAAGUUAAAGUGUACUAAAAAAUAUUUAAAAAACGCUUUUGUCCACAGUGUCAAACUGAGUCCUGAAACACACUCGCUGCCAAUCAGUAGAAAGGGGCGUAUCUAGUAAUGAUAAGGAGAAGAGAGCGCUCAGUGAGUGCACAGGACAGAUAUUAGCAGAUCGACUAUAGCAAGAGAUUUUUUUAAAAAGAGGAAAAUCUCGGAAGAACAAAACAUUAAAAUGAUCAGACAAGAGGUUGGACUUGUGUAAAUAUUGGAGCAGUUUCCAGUGGUGAAGAAACUGGUGAAGGAGCGGGAAGGCCUGGGACUGAACACUGAGGUAGCUUUGUUUCUCCUUGAUAGAAGCUGUUAUUCCUGUGAUACAGUUGGAGUUCCCACCUGUUUUAUUGCUAAACGGCUGCUAGAGAGCACAACAGGUGAGAAAACACAGAGAUUUCAGCAACAGAAGUGAUAGGGUUAUCUUAAUUUCUUACAGUUCUUGCACUUACAAUAAAGGCCUCUACUGAAAGAGUGUCAUGUUACUCUGUUCAUGAUUUGGUGAAAGAUUUGUGUUUGUAGGUCAGGUUUUUAUAUGGUUUUGCAUAUAGCACCAAAUAUUCCCACAAGGACAGAUAAAACUGAAAUUAUUAUUUAAC
Molecule: long non-coding RNA, 653 nt
Filed under: Carassius auratus (goldfish)
Lineage: Eukaryota; Metazoa; Chordata; Actinopteri; Cypriniformes; Cyprinidae
Description: lncRNA (ENSCARG00000009113.1)
Source: RNAcentral